RNAcentral lists this ribosomal RNA (251 nucleotides) under uncultured bacterium. RNAcentral's name for it is "partial 16S ribosomal RNA". It matches the Rfam family "Bacterial small subunit ribosomal RNA", at positions 524 to 776 of the family's 1533-position model. The record is from RNAcentral.
UACGGGGGGAGCAAGCGUUGUUCGGAUUUACUGGGCGUAAAGGGCGCGUAGGCGGCUGUGACAAGUCACUUGUGAAAUCUCCGGGCUUAACUCGGAACGGUCAAGUGAUACUGUCGGACUAGAGUACAGAAGGGGCAACUGGAAUUCUCGGUGUAGCGGUGAAAUGCGUAGAUAUCGAGAGGAACACCUGCGGCGAAGGCGGUUGCUGGCUGAUACUGACGCUGAUGCGCGAAGCCAGGGGAGCGAACGGG